This is an RNA transcript of Oncorhynchus keta (chum salmon), 1580 nucleotides long. It is a transcript of the gene named cytochrome P450 2M1-like, with no coding region annotated. The transcript has 9 exons. NCBI's taxonomy places the organism in Eukaryota, Metazoa, Chordata, Actinopteri, Salmoniformes, Salmonidae. The record is from RefSeq and is a predicted model, not a curated record.
UCAACUUCUAUCUACUUUUUGCAGUAGAAGGCUCUGACCCGGUACAGCAUAAAGCUUUCCGAUAUCAGAUGUUCUGUUAACUCCGUAGGCGAUCAAUGUCAUCGACUCUACUGAAGAUGGAUGUACUUCAUAUUUUGCAGACGAACUUUGUGUCUAUUGUAAUCGGAUUUGUCGUUAUUAUUUUAUUGUGGAUGAAUCGAGGCAAACAAAGCAACUCACGUUUGCCUCCUGGUCCUUCACCGAUUCCUCUGCUUGGUAACUUGUUACGAAUGGAUGUGAAAGCGCCAUACAAGCUCUACAUGGAGCUCAGUAAGAAGUAUGGCUCAGUGUUUACUGUAUGGCUGGGCUCUGAACCUGUAGUGGUGAUCUCUGGCUUUCAGGCUAUCAAGGAUGCUUUUGUCACACAAGGAGAAGAGUUCAGCGGCAGAGCCAACUACCCCGUGAUCAUGACAAUCUCUAAAGGAUAUGGGGUGAUGGUGAGCAGUGGGAAGAGAUCAAAAGAUCUUCGCAGGUUCUCGCUGAUGACCCUGAAAACCUUUGGGAUGGGGCGCAGGAGCAUCGAAGAACGUGUCCAAGAAGAGGCUAAGAUACUGGUGAAAACCUUCGGUGAAUAUGGAGAUUCAGUUGUCAAUCCCAAAGAAUUGCUUUGCAGUCUUUGGGCACAGGUUUUGGCAAAAGGCUGUUGAACUUCCAUGUUCAGCAGCCCUAUUGGAGCGGUAGUAACUUUUCAGCUCAUCUCUUUUCAUAGAAUCUUCCAUUGCUUGCCUUCAGAUCACCAUGAGAUGUUUGCUAUCGUAAACAAGGCCAAAGAUUACAUACAAGGGCAAGCAGAAAUCCGCCUUAAAACCCUUAACAUCUCUGAACCUCAGGACUUCAUUGAGGCCUUCCUGGUUAAAAUGCUGGAGGAGAAAGAUGAUCCCAACACUGAGUUCAACAAUGAUAAUAUAGUCAUGACUGCAUGGAGCCUGUUUGCUGCUGGAACAGAAACGACAUCAUCCACCCUAAGACAAUCAUUUCUGAUGAUGAUAAAGUACCCUCACAUUCAAGAGAGUGUUCAGAAGGAGAUAGACGAGGUGAUUGGCUCAAGAGUGCCCACGGUUGACGACAGAGUUAAAAUGCCCUACACGGAUGCUGUCAUUCACGAAGUCCAGCGAUACAUGGACCUCAGUCCCACCUCUGUACCCCACAAAGUGAUCAGAGAUACAGAGUUCUACAACUACCACAUUCCAGAGGGUACCAUGGUCCUGCCUCUGCUGUCCUCUGUGCUUGUUGAUCCCAAACUGUUUAAAAACCCAGAUGAGUUUGACCCAGAGAACUUCCUGGAUGAAAAUGGAGUCUUUAAGAAAAAUGAUGGAUUCUUUGCUUUUGGAGUGGGGAAGCGGGCGUGUCCUGGAGAGGCUCUGGCCAAAGUGGAGCUCUUUCUCUUCUUUACCUCCCUCCUGCAGCGCUUCACUUUCACCGGCACCAAAUCUCCAGAGGAGAUCAACAUCGAGCCAGCGUGCUCCAGCUUUGGCCGCAUGCCACAUUCCUAUGAUUGCUACAUCAAACUCAGGACUGAGGAGUGACCACUUUACUGUGGA